CUGUCAGUGAGCCUUCAUUCAGUUUCUUUAGGUCCAGGGUUCCUCAUCAUCAUCAGUCUGGGUGCUGGUUCCCUUUUCCUGGUUCUGCUAGCUGGGUCUGUGCUGUGUGUUCUCCAACGCAAGUGUGGGGUUCAAGGCAGGCCUGUAAAUACAGGAAGGCCACCUGAGCAGCAAGACCAAACCCCACCUUGUGUCUAUUCUGUCAUCACAAAGCCGUCUAGGGAUGAGGAAGAGGACACUAGUCUGCAAUACGCUACAGUGACAUCAACUGGUGACCGAGCUAGUAUUCAAUAUGCAACAGUGAAAUCUACCGGUAACCAAGAUGGACCUGGGCGCACCAAGAUCAAGUUUGAAAUAGCUGGAGAGUACGCCCUCUUAGCAGAAUCAUAGAAGAAGAAACAUUUACUGGAUAACAUUUUUUGACAUAGUUUACAGUUAUAAUCCUAUCUUUCUUUCUUUCUUCAUAUUGGAUCAUAAUUUACUCAUAGUACAAAAAAAUACUGCCACAACAACAAAGACUAAAGAUAUCUACUCCUUUCUGAAAACAAGCAGCUUCAACUAUUUGCAUUUUAGGUU
Molecule: long non-coding RNA, 576 nt
Organism: Salvelinus fontinalis (brook trout)
Lineage: Eukaryota; Metazoa; Chordata; Actinopteri; Salmoniformes; Salmonidae
Exons: 5
Source: RefSeq, a predicted model, not a curated record